GUUAAGCGACUAAGCGUACACGGUGGAUGCCCUGGCAGUCAGAGGCGAUGAAGGACGUGCUAAUCUGCGAUAAGCGUCGGUAAGGUGAUAUGAACCGUUAUAACCGGCGAUUUCCGAAUGGGGAAACCCAGUGUGUUUCGACACACUAUCAUUAACUGAAUCCAUAGGUUAAUGAGGCGAACCGGGGGAACUGAAACAUCUAAGUACCCCGAGGAAAAGAAAUCAACCGAGAUUCCCCCAGUAGCGGCGAGCGAACGGGGAGCAGCCCAGAGCCUGAAUCAGUGUGUGUGUUAGUGGAAGCGUCUGGAAAGGCGCGCGAUACAGGGUGACAGCCCCGUACACAAAAAUGCACAUGCUGUGAGCUCGAUGAGUAGGGCGGGACACGUGGUAUCCUGUCUGAAUAUGGGGGGACCAUCCUCCAAGGCUAAAUACUCCUGACUGACCGAUAGUGAACCAGUACCGUGAGGGAAAGGCGAAAAGAACCCCGGCGAGGGGAGUGAAAAAGAACCUGAAACCGUGUACGUACAAGCAGUGGGAGCACGCUUCGGCGUGUGACUGCGUACCUUUUGUAUAAUGGGUCAGCGACUUAUAUUCUGUAGCAAGGUUAACCGAAUAGGGGAGCCGAAGGGAAACCGAGUCUUAACUGGGCGUUAAGUUGCAGGGUAUAGACCCGAAACCCGGUGAUCUAGCCAUGGGCAGGUUGAAGGUUGGGUAACACUAACUGGAGGACCGAACCGACUAAUGUUGAAAAAUUAGCGGAUGACUUGUGGCUGGGGGUGAAAGGCCAAUCAAACCGGGAGAUAGCUGGUUCUCCCCGAAAGCUAUUUAGGUAGCGCCUCGUGAAUUCAUCUCCGGGGGUAGAGCACUGUUUCGGCAAGGGGGUCAUCCCGACUUACCAACCCGAUGCAAACUGCGAAUACCGGAGAAUGUUAUCACGGGAGACACACGGCGGGUGCUAACGUCCGUCGUGAAGAGGGAAACAACCCAGACCGCCAGCUAAGGUCCCAAAGUCAUGGUUAAGUGGGAAACGAUGUGGGAAGGCCCAGACAGCCAGGAUGUUGGCUUAGAAGCAGCCAUCAUUUAAAGAAAGCGUAAUAGCUCACUGGUCGAGUCGGCCUGCGCGGAAGAUGUAACGGGGCUAAACCAUGCACCGAAGCUGCGGCAGCGACGCUUAUGCGUUGUUGGGUAGGGGAGCGUUCUGUAAGCCUGUGAAGGUGUGCUGUGAGGCAUGCUGGAGGUAUCAGAAGUGCGAAUGCUGACAUAAGUAACGAUAAAGCGGGUGAAAAGCCCGCUCGCCGGAAGACCAAGGGUUCCUGUCCAACGUUAAUCGGGGCAGGGUGAGUCGACCCCUAAGGCGAGGCCGAAAGGCGUAGUCGAUGGGAAACAGGUUAAUAUUCCUGUACUUGGUGUUACUGCGAAGGGGGGACGGAGAAGGCUAUGUUGGCCGGGCGACGGUUGUCCCGGUUUAAGCGUGUAGGCUGGUUUUCCAGGCAAAUCCGGAAAAUCAAGGCUGAGGCGUGAUGACGAGGCACUACGGUGCUGAAGCAACAAAUGCCCUGCUUCCAGGAAAAGCCUCUAAGCAUCAGGUAACAUCAAAUCGUACCCCAAACCGACACAGGUGGUCAGGUAGAGAAUACCAAGGCGCUUGAGAGAACUCGGGUGAAGGAACUAGGCAAAAUGGUGCCGUAACUUCGGGAGAAGGCACGCUGAUAUGUAGGUGAAGCGACUUGCUCGUGGAGCUGAAAUCAGUCGAAGAUACCAGCUGGCUGCAACUGUUUAUUAAAAACACAGCACUGUGCAAACACGAAAGUGGACGUAUACGGUGUGACGCCUGCCCGGUGC
This 1842-nucleotide ribosomal RNA is filed under the name Escherichia coli. RNAcentral's name for it is "partial 23S ribosomal RNA". It matches the Rfam family "Bacterial large subunit ribosomal RNA", at positions 1 to 1869 of the family's 2925-position model. The record is from RNAcentral. Lineage: Bacteria; Pseudomonadati; Pseudomonadota; Gammaproteobacteria; Enterobacterales; Enterobacteriaceae.